Long non-coding RNA from Oncorhynchus tshawytscha (Chinook salmon), 239 nucleotides. RefSeq lists it as uncharacterized. NCBI's taxonomy places the organism in Eukaryota, Metazoa, Chordata, Actinopteri, Salmoniformes, Salmonidae. The transcript has 3 exons. The record is from RefSeq and is a predicted model, not a curated record.
CGGUGUCAAUGUGGGCCAGCGCUUCACUGUGGGGGACAUGGUUUCCUUUCAGUGUGACCAAGGCUACUCUCUGAAGGGUAAUGAAUACAUAACGUGUAUGCCAGGGCCCGUCAGACGAUGGAAUUACCCCGUACCUCUGUGCUUAGCUCAGUGCGGAGGCUCUAUGACAGACUUCAGUGGUGUGAUCCUGAGUCCAGGCUUCCCAGGGAAUUACCUCAGCAGUCUGGACUGUAGCUGGA